Molecule: ribosomal RNA, 502 nt
Filed under: uncultured bacterium
Lineage: Bacteria
Description: SSU rRNA
Rfam family: Bacterial small subunit ribosomal RNA
Source: RNAcentral
AGAACGAACGCUGGCGGCGUGGAUAAGACAUGCAAGUCGAACGCGACUUAUCUGGUUAGCAAUAACUAGGUAAGUUGAGUGGCGAAAGGGUGCGUAACACGUGGGGAUUUACCAAGAAGUGGGGAAUAGCUCGACGAAAGUCGAAUUAAUACCGCAUAUGAUCGAAAGAUCAAAGCCGGGGACCGCAAGGCCUGGCGCUUUUUGAGAAGCCCGCGGCCCAUCAGCUAGUUGGCGGGGUAACGGCCCACCAAGGCUAUGACGGGUAGCUGGUCUGAGAGGACGACCAGCCACACUGGAACUGAGACACGGUCCAGACACCUACGGGUGGCAGCAGUCGAGAAUUUUUUCACAAUGGACGAAAGUCUGAUGGAGCGACGCCGCGUGGAGGAUGAAGGUUUUCGGAUUGUAAACUCCUGUCACUGCAGAACAAGGAUACGUCAGUUAACAGCCGACGUAUUUGAUGGUAUGCGGAGAGGAAGGGACGGCUAACUCUGUGCCAGCA